CGCGUAGGCGGCUAGGCAAGUCAGAGGUGAAAGCCCUCGGCUCAACCGAGGAACUGCCUCUGAUACUGCCUGGCUUGGGUCCCGGAGAGGGUAGUGGAAUUCCCAGUGUAGCGGUGAAAUGCGUAGAUAUUGGGAGGAACACCGGUGGCGAAGGCGGCUACCUGGACGGGUACUGACGCUGAGGCACGAAAGCGUGGGGAGCAAACA
This 207-nucleotide ribosomal RNA is filed under the name uncultured bacterium. RNAcentral's name for it is "partial 16S ribosomal RNA". It matches the Rfam family "Bacterial small subunit ribosomal RNA", at positions 568 to 774 of the family's 1533-position model. The record is from RNAcentral.